UCUUCACAUUUUAUUUACCUCAUACAUUAAUAAAAUGAUUAAAUUACCCGAAAUUACCCAAAUAUACGCAGUGUCUCAUGAACCUUUUUAAUUGCCACACACACAUCAGUAAUAAGAAAAAGAACUCUCUUAUAUGUAGCAAGCUCUACAUUUUGUGUGCUUUUUGAGCCUCAGAGCAAUUUGUGAGAUUGACGGUUUCUUUGCUCUGAUUGUAUGUGUCAGAGAGCUGAGGAUGAAUGAGGUCAUGUGACUUGGCCCUCUUGACAUGUCUGGUGAGUGGAUGAGUUGAGGUGUGAAGUCCAGGCAUCCUGACCACACAGGUCAGAAUGGAGCCUCUUAGUGAUCUGGGCCCCUGCUGGUCAGCCAUUCAUUUUUCCUCCCCUGCCACAUAUGUAUCCAUUAUUGCCAUCCUUCACUUCCCUAAAAAUUCAGGUCCACAUAGUCAGAACUGUAGGCCUUUUCAGGGGCCAUUUGCUCCAAAGCUCCUUAUCAGACAAAUAAAGGAAGUAAUGCCCUCAGGGUUUUCAAAGGCCUAAUCAAUUGAACGUGUCUGAUGUAGGCUUCAGUUCCCCUGCUUGGCCGUCCCCAGAUGCUGGCCACUGGACACUGCCUUGAGUGUGCCUCUAUUUCAGCUAUAUUUCAUUCUUUCUUGUCAUUCCUGUUCUUCUGCCUCCAUCGUAUGGACUCAGUAGGACAAAAAAAUUGCAAGUAGUUGGGAUGCCAGAACACUGCCCAUGCAUUCGAUGUUGCCAUCUCUUUUCUUCUAAGCCCCUGGGACUUCACCUCAUUUCAGCACUUCUCCUUCCUAGGACAGAGAUACCCUGGAAGAUUUGAGAAGUGGUCCUCUUUUUCGCCAGUGUCUUCAUGUAACCAUCCCUCUUCCCUUCCAAAUGUCAGUCUCCUCAGUUCCUUUCUUUUGAGAAAAAAAAUGGGUGAUGGUUGCACUUUGGGGGGUGGGCAUUUGAACUUGCCACAAUCUGAUGGACAGAUUCAAUUCUUCUGCUCCCUCCAUAUGUGCCAGGUUGUUUCCUUUCUGUUUCAAGAUUAAUCAUAAUAAAAACGGCAACAAAAAACACCUGUAAUAAUAAUUUCAACUACCAAAUCAGAAAGGAACACGGCAAAUAUCAUUGAAGGAGUACAGUAUGUGUAUGUCAUCUCCUUUGACCCAGCAGCAGACCUCUGAUUCCGAUUCUCUUUGUAGUCCAAUUGACAGGAUUAAAUGAUGCUAAGACAUUGGAAGUUACUCAGACCAGGAGGAUAAACAUCAUAUGUAGCUGAGGAUUAUUCUGAAGAAGAGCUGUACAAUCUUCCCCUUUUGGACAAAUUUAAUUUUGACAAGCUCACCGUUUCUUUUCAAAGGUCAGAGAGGUGAGAAGGAGUGAGGUUACAUGACUUGGCCCUCUUGACAUGAGUGGAUUGUAAUAUCCCGGAAGAUUUGAGGAGUCGCCCUCUUGUUUACAAAUUUCCUCAUGUAAAUAUCCCUCUUCCUUUUGAAAGAAAAGUUUUGUGGAUCCUAAAAGAGAGGCGAAGAUAAAAGACUAUAGCUUUAAAUCUUUAGCAGUAGACCAACUGAAAUUAGCUGGCGCUAUAAUUUGAAGGGCUAGCAGCAAAUGGCCCUUGGAUGAAUUGAAAUGUAUACAUUACUAUUAGUGAUUAUGAACCCAGAUUUGAUUUGGUACUGAAACUAAAUUAUCAUGUGGUCUCAUUUAUAGUGAAAUGUGUUCUGCUAUCAGGAUAAUUGUGGUAAAUCAGAACUUGAUGCAAAAAUGUAUUUGUUAUUUGGCAUUAAGGCAGAAGAAGAAAAUCCUUAUGGAUCAAGAAAACCUGAGUCAAAAAAUCUGUUCUCAGAAAUUUAUUGCCUGUGUGACUUUACCUCUGUUUACCUUAGUUU
Trichosurus vulpecula (common brushtail) is the source of this 1891-nucleotide long non-coding RNA. RefSeq lists it as uncharacterized. Lineage: Eukaryota; Metazoa; Chordata; Mammalia; Diprotodontia; Phalangeridae. The transcript is spliced from 5 exons. The record is from RefSeq and is a predicted model, not a curated record.